UUUACUUCAUUUGAAACUAGACUCAUUAAGGAGUCUAAGAAUAUAAAUUUUAUCUUAUAAUCAUCAUUGUACAAUUUACAAUGAUUUUCUAAAGACAGAACAGGGGAUUUCAAAGUCAUUUUGACUCUGUGUCACUCCACUUCAAAUAUCUCAUUAUCUAAAAUUCUUUUGCUUACAUGGUUUCUCUUAUAAGAAACUAGACUCAUUAAGCUUUAAUUUCAUAAUUUAUUCAGCUUCUAAUUCAAUUUCCACAAUUUAUGAUGAUUUUCCAAAAUCACGCUACAGUUGCUGUCCCAAGCAGAUUUAUUACAAAUUUGCUCUUUCACACAUUCCUUGCAUUCAAAUUAUCUAAACAUGUAUAUCAUGUCAUUCAAGAUCGAACUCAUAUAACAUAGGCAUUAAAAUGCUUCACUAUCAGCUUUAGUUCAAUUGAAACGAAUGAAAUACAAUAUCAUAUUCACAUUUAAUUUUCCAAGAUCGUUAUCACCUAAAAAUAAAAUCAUAUACUUCUACAAAGCUUUCCACAAGGACCAAGUGUUUAUAUUUGAAUAUAAACAUAGAAUCACUUCACAUAACUUCACAUAUUUACCGAAUAUAUCACAAUCACAUUUAUAGUCAUAACACUUAUUCACAGAUGCAUCACUUUAUAUAUUUAUAAUUUAAUUCAAAUCAAAAUCGCAUACGAGUACAUGAUACAUACCUGGCCAACUUAAUAUGUAAUGCACUUUCAAUUUGUCAACUUAGUGUAGGAUCUUGUAAUUGUAUACUUUUAUCAAAUUCAUCGGCACUUGGCCCACUAGGUAUAAAACCCUAAAUUAUAUUAUCAGCACAAAGCCUGCGGGACUUUAACCGGGAUACAUUUCUAGCACGAAGCCUGCGGGACUUUGGCCCGGAUACAUUUCCAGCACGAAGCCUGCGGGACUUUGGCCCGGAUACAUUUCCAGCACGAAGCCUGCGGGACUUUAGUCCGGAUACAUUUCCAGCACGAAGCCUGUGGGACUUUGGCCCGGAUAUAUUUCCAGCACGAAGCCUGCGGGACUUUAGCCCGGAUACAUUUCCAGCACGAAGCCUGCGGGACUUUAGCCCGGAUACAUUUUUAGUGUCUUGCAUAUUUAUUCACAUGUUAACACAUUUCACAUAACAUUUCACAUUAGCAAUUUAAUUGCUUCAUUCGAAUAUAAGCACGAAAUGUACACCUACCUUUCGGUUCAAUAAUCAUACACAAGGAACACAUAAUCUUUUCAUUAUCCUAGUUUCACUUUUAAUAACCAUUCGACUAUAUGCCAUAUUCACAAAUUAUUUCACACACAACCUCGAUCAAGUAGGAACAAUAGUCACAAUUCAUCUAUUAUACAAAUAUUCCAUUCUUUGACUUUGUUUCAUAAUAGCUAUUCUGUCACCACAUAUAUACCAUUCAACUCACAUUCGACUUUAUACAAACAAGUACAAUAAAAUUGUAUACACAUAUUACACACUUUCACAUCAUCACUUAAUAGUCAUUCGGCCACAUUAUAUGCAUAAAUCAUCCAUUUCAUAUUCGGCUUUAUAGCCGAAAUUCAAUAUACUUAUUGCAAUUCGAACUUGUAAACGUCAAAUAAUUACUUAUCAUAUUAUAUAAUCUUAAGCGCGCAGCAAAUCAAAUAUAAUUACUUAAGGACUUACCUCGGAAGACGAUAAUCGGAACGAGACGACUAAUCGACCAUUUUGAUUUUCCCCCCGAUCCAAAUCCGAAUUCUACUUUUGCCAAUCUAAUUAAUAUCAAAAUUAACUCACUUAUUCAACAUUUCAUUAAAUUUUAUCUAAAGACACAUAAUUUGGUCAUUUUUCAUUUUAUCCCCUAACAUUUCACAUUUUUACAAUUUAAUCCCUAUUUCAAAAUAACACAAAUUACUCAAAAUUUCAUCAAACCCAUGUUAGGCCGAAUUUACCUUAGGUCUCUAACAACCCAUUUCUUUUAUUUAUUUCACGUUUUGACCCAUAAAUUUACAAAUUUCUAAAUUUAGUCCUUAAUACACAUUUUUAUCAAAAAUCACUUAAUCAAACAUGAAAAUCAAACAUCAAAGAUUUAUUACUCAUCAUCAAACAACAAGAUACUCAAACAUUCAAUAAUGGCAUCAUCCAAAUACUUUAACAAUUUUAAAAUUAGAGGUACGGGCCAGCUAGAUUACGAAGCAACGAUCUCAAAAACGUAAAAAUUAUUAAAAACCGAGACGACAUGGACUUACAUGCAUGAACAACCAUGGCCGAACCUUCAAAGCUUUGAGAGCAUUAUUUUCUUUCUCACAUUCGGCUAUUGAUGAAGAUGAUA
Molecule: long non-coding RNA, 2308 nt
Filed under: Gossypium barbadense (sea-island cotton)
Lineage: Eukaryota; Viridiplantae; Streptophyta; Magnoliopsida; Malvales; Malvaceae
Description: long non-coding RNA (GBAR_LNC000084)
Source: RNAcentral